GCACACUGUUCCUUACUUGCUAUUGUUGGCACGUCGCCACUCGGCGGAGUAGGGGUCCAAAGCCGCGAGCGGGCAUGUAUAUAAAAGACGGUCGUCUCACAACACCGGUGCACGUUCUUCUCCACAGGGUUUUCUCUCCCAGCCUAGAGGGUGAUGACUGACAACAUGACACAGCACGACACUGCAGACUUCAAGUAUACACACAGCAAAGAAAAGGACUCGCCCACUACACUCCACACACUCACAGUGAAUUAGGGUCAAAACCACAUAGGACCGGGGAUUAGUUCCUGGACGUUGGGGGCACCGAUGCAGCAGACGGCCAGAGGGAACGUCACAGCCACGACAAGGCACCAGACUCCUUUUUCGCUGGUUCCGGCUCACCCACCAAUCCUAUUACGAUAACCGACAUCCGACACAACUGGCAGCACGAUCUCCUUCCUGCAAUCCUAGCAGAUCUUCAAUGUGUGUUAACUUCACAUCACACAAUGCAUCUGAACACAAUGCUCCAAUAAAGAUAUUCGUAUACUCAGCCCUGUAUGUGUAUCUCUCUUUGCCCAAGCUCCGCAGUACACCAUACACUCUCUCUCCAACUCUCUCCUCCGCUCCAUUGCGCCCACAGUAACUACUGGGAAUCACCAGGCCCUUCCUGUGUUUCUGAUGCCCUAUUUAUGUGUCUCCUCUUCACCAAAUUGCCCAAUCAGUGAUCGCCACGCUCAACAAGACACCCGUUCCCAAUAACACGCCGAUUUGUGUUCGCCGGCUUUCCCGGAAGUGGCGGUGUUUGCGAUAUAUGGUCCGGGCGGAACUAAUCUUCCUCAUUUUUGGUUCCGCCCCAUCACAGUCA
This is a long non-coding RNA of Cyprinus carpio carpio, 844 nucleotides long. The record is from Ensembl. NCBI's taxonomy places the organism in Eukaryota, Metazoa, Chordata, Actinopteri, Cypriniformes, Cyprinidae.